ACUUGUGUUCAGAUUCUCAUAAGCCAUGUCCAUCUGAAAUAUAAAAAAGACAAUACCUGAAUAAUAUAGAAAAAGAGAAUUCGAGAAUGAGGAACAUCAAUAAAACAGUUAAAACGGAAGUCCGAAUGAAUGAAAAAACUUCAAGAUAACUCAAAACGAUAAACAGAAAAAUGUUUGACUUUACCAACUAACUUUAGGUUUUCGGCCGUUUUGGUCCACCUUGUGCUGCUGAGAGAAUUCAAAGUAAAAAAGCAGUUGAAGAGAAAAUAAGGCGGAUUGGAAUGAAGAGGGAAAAAGAGAGUGAUGAGAUGUUUGGCGGGUGUCACCAGCAUGCGUACUAAAUCAGGAUUUUAUUACUUUUUAAUUUUCACCACCUCAUCUAAAACGACACAUCAAACAAAAAAACAAACAAACCUUAUAUAGUCAACUUUAUCUGCUAAUAUCAAUGAUAAAAAAACAAUUUCCUUGUACGAACUAUGUCGUGAAUGAUAAGAAAGAUUAUGCUUCAUUUGUCAGACUUCAUUUUGUUUAAAUAACUGCUACCAUUGCAUCAUUUAUGGAUAGAAUUUCGGCAAGAAAAAUAGACCCAAAAUUUUCUUGUUCGACCAUCUUCUCUUUAUUCAGUUUCUGAAAGGAAAAAAAUAUAUAUAUAUCGCCAGAAAUUUUAUGGGUUUUUAC
RNAcentral lists this long non-coding RNA (678 nucleotides) under Olea europaea (common olive). RNAcentral describes it as "long non-coding RNA (OEUR_LNC002149)". Lineage: Eukaryota; Viridiplantae; Streptophyta; Magnoliopsida; Lamiales; Oleaceae. The record is from RNAcentral.